Molecule: non-coding RNA, 231 nt
Organism: Vicia faba (fava bean)
Lineage: Eukaryota; Viridiplantae; Streptophyta; Magnoliopsida; Fabales; Fabaceae
Source: the annotation of a GenBank genome assembly
AUGUUGUUUCUGCGCAGUCCUAACGAUCCAGAUCAACAACAUCGCACGCUUCUCUCUGAUGUCGCUCAAGUCAAACGAACCACGUCACCAUCCGCCUUAGUCUGUGAUGGACAACCCCACCACCACCGAUUCAUAUCCGCCACCAAGCAAUCACCUCCGACCACAACAACACAGGCAAGCUUCGACCGAUCUGCAACACCCAAAUCUGCGGCCACCAAAGGAAACUCAUAG